This 234-nucleotide ribosomal RNA is filed under the name uncultured bacterium. Its description in RNAcentral is "partial 16S ribosomal RNA". It matches the Rfam family "Bacterial small subunit ribosomal RNA", at positions 118 to 347 of the family's 1533-position model. The record is from RNAcentral.
UGGAUGACCUGCCUUUAACUCUGGGAUAAGCCUGGGAAACUGGGUCUAAUACCGGAUAUGACUCCUCAUCGCAUGGUGGGGGGUGGAAAGCUUUUUGUGGUUUUGGAUAGACUCGCGGCCUAUCAGCUUGUUGGUGAGGUAAUGGCUCACCAAGGCGACGACGGGUAGCCGGCCUGAGAGGGUGACCGGCCACACUGGGACUGAGACACGGCCCAGACCUCCGUACGGGAGCAG